CGAUCUGAUGAUCCCGCUUAUAGGAAGUGCCGUCUGACGAAUGAAUGGCGAUUGAUAGCGUCUUCUGAUA
Galendromus occidentalis (western predatory mite) is the source of this 70-nucleotide small nucleolar RNA. RefSeq annotates it as small nucleolar RNA SNORD49. The transcript has a single exon. The record is from RefSeq and is a predicted model, not a curated record. Lineage: Eukaryota; Metazoa; Arthropoda; Arachnida; Mesostigmata; Phytoseiidae.